Molecule: ribosomal RNA, 467 nt
Filed under: uncultured bacterium
Lineage: Bacteria
Description: partial 16S ribosomal RNA
Rfam family: Bacterial small subunit ribosomal RNA
Source: RNAcentral
ACGAACGCUGGCGGCGUGCUUAACACAUGCAAGUCGAACGGAAAGGCCCUGCUUUUGUGGGGUGCUCGAGUGGCGAACGGGUGAGUAACACGUGAGUAACCUGCCCUUGACUUUGGGAUAACUUCAGGAAACUGGGGCUAAUACCGGAUAGGAGCUCCUGCUGCAUGGUGGGGGUUGGAAAGUUUCGGCGGUUGGGGAUGGACUCGCGGCUUAUCAGCUUGUUGGUGGGGUAGUGGCUUACCAAGGCUUUGACGGGUAGCCGGCCUGAGAGGGUGACCGGCCACAUUGGGACUGAGAUACGGCCCAGACUCCUACGGGAGGCAGCAGUGGGGAAUAAUGCACAAUGGGCGGAAGCCUGAUGCAGCAACGCCGCGUGCGGGAUGACGGCCUUCGGGUUGUAAACCGCCUUCGCCUGUGACGAAGCGUGAGUGACGGUAAUGGGUAAAGAAGCACCGGCUAACUACGUG